CCAGACUCCUACGGGAGGCAGCAGUGGGGAAUAUUGCGCGAUGGGCGGAAGCCUGAUGCAGCAACGCCGCGUGCGGGAUGACGGCCUUCGGGUUGUAAACCGCUUUCGCCUGUGACGAAGCGUGAGUGACGGUAAUGGGUAAAGAAGCACCGGCUAACUACGUGCCAGCAGCCGCGGUGAUACGUAGGGUGCGAGCGUUGUCCGGAUUUAUUGGGCGUAAAGGGCUCGUAGGUGGUUGAUCGCGUCGGAAGUGUAAUCUUGGGGCUUAACCCUGAGCGUGCUUUCGAUACGGGUUGACUUGGGGAAGGUAGGGGAGAAUGGAAUUCCUGGUGGAGCGGUGGAAUGCGCAGAUAUCAGGAGGAACACCAGUGGCGAAGGCGGUUCUCUGGGCCUUUCCUGACGCUGAGGAGCGAAAGCGUGGGGAGCGAACAGGCUUAGAUACCCUGGUAGUCCACGCUGUAAACGGUGGGUACUAGGUGUGGGGUCCAUUCCACGGGUUCCGUGCCGUAGCUAACGCUUUAAGUACCCCGCCUGGGGAGUACGGCCGCAAGGCUAAAACUCAAAGGAAUUGACGGGGGCCCGCACAAGAAGGGCGAAUUC
RNAcentral lists this ribosomal RNA (600 nucleotides) under uncultured bacterium. RNAcentral's name for it is "bacterial SSU rRNA". It matches the Rfam family "Bacterial small subunit ribosomal RNA", at positions 331 to 941 of the family's 1533-position model. The record is from RNAcentral.